Stegostoma tigrinum is the source of this 2703-nucleotide long non-coding RNA. RefSeq lists it as uncharacterized. The transcript has 5 exons. NCBI's taxonomy places the organism in Eukaryota, Metazoa, Chordata, Chondrichthyes, Orectolobiformes, Stegostomatidae. The record is from RefSeq and is a predicted model, not a curated record.
AACCGAAACAACUGCGGAGACUUUAUCACCGCUUCUGUACAACUGUAGAUCCGAAUUAGAGCUUCUUGGUCAUGCCUUUUCAGGAAACUGAAAAGGGCUGCAGGCUUCAGGCCGCGAGAGGCCCAGGUUACCGCCAGAAUAUUUAUUGGCCCCAAAGCCCCGCGUGUUUCGGACAGAAUGGUCCCUGCUUUGCACUGAGGACCUGGGGGUUGGAAGCGUUUUCUUUCUCAAUGAACUACCACAGUAAAUCUGUACUCCACAACUUAAAGGGCUCUCGUAUCUUUUCUGACCAGAAUUGGAUGCAAUGAUUGACUGUGACCUCACCAGAUCUUUAUCAAGGUUCAGCAUCUUUUCCGGUCCCAAUGCACUGCCGCCGAUGUUGGAAUUUGGGAUCUCGGGGUUUAUGCUCCCAUCCCAGAAUGCGAUUUUUGAAGUCCUGUUGGUCCCUCUGGAUUACCACACCGAGAGCCUGGAUGAAGACUUGGGACUGUGUGGGUUUGUACGUUUGGGUUGAGUCAGCUGAUGCGCAAAUGGUUCAUGUACGGGAUGGCCUUCCGGAGGAAGUACUGGGUGCGGGUAUCGUUACAGCAUUUAAAAGGCAAUUGGGUUUGAUUCCCCGUCAAGAAAUGAGGAUCCAUGGUUCCUGUAUAAACUGUUAAAAUGAACAAGAAUUCCUGACAUUAAGAACAUCAAAGAACUUGAGGAAGACCGUUUGGAAGGGUAGUAAUCAGCUGACGUGUGCAAUGCUCCAGUUUCACAGGAAGAACGAGGUGAGGCAGUGUAAACUGCAGAGUGACCAUGAAACAAUGGGAGAGGAACAAGGGAGCGGACAUAUGCUUCCUUCCUUUGCUCUAUCCAGACUCUGGGUUUGAAGUCUGAAGUGCGACAAUAUAAGCCAAGUGGGUGAAAUCCUUGCUUCCUGGGGGUCGGUUUCUUGCUGAGGCUUCAGUCACUCUCGUGGAAACGUGUCCAUGUAUUUCCCUCUGUAGGUGAAAAUAAGGUUCAGCUCCUGAGGGGGUGUGAAGGCAGUUUGACCAUCUCAAACUUCAAUCCCAUUUAUUGUGUCAUUUGAGAUUAAAAUAUUACAGCGAAAGUAUUAUUGAGAUGAAGACCUGAAACAUCAGAGCACACAAGGUUACAGUCCAAGCGCUGGAAACUGGGAUGAUGGGCCUCGUUUGUAAUUCAAAACCCGAUGAGUCGAUCAUUUUGGAGGAGAAUUUGCACUGAGAAACAAAGUCAACAUCUGUGUCAUUAAAAAACGAGAGAAAUAUUUCUGUUGUCAUGCUUGCUGGUCUAGUGGUUAGGAUUCGGUGCUUUGGUUAAAAAAAAAAGUGGCCUGGGUUUGAUUCCCAGUGAGUAAAUCAGAAUUUAUUGUUCCUGACAGUGACAACAGCAAAAAGCUGAGCAGACCUGAUGAGAAACUGCUCAAUGCCUCGGAUCAGGUAAUAUCCCUGAGAACAUCAGAGUUAAUGUCCCAGCCUUGUUAAAAAGGCGAAGGUGCCUUGACUCUGCUCACUUGGACAAUUCACCUUUCAUUCUCAUCUGAUUUCGCUUCCCCAAAAGUUCCCAAAGCCAAAACAUGGCUUUAUGUUUCAUCUCCUUUUCAUUCCCAGAAAACGGGUCAGUGAGUUUGGGAAACUGCAAGGGGCUUCUCAGCAGUUUGAGAUUAUUUCGGCUUCCUCUCCUCUGGUGACCCUGGUGUUUUCAGUGAUAUUUACUGACGAAAUACAGUGAAAGAAUCCCCGUUCCUGCAGAUCAGCAAUUCAAACCUCAUCAAGGUUUCAGGACAACUAGAAAGGUGAGUUUGGAGGUAUGAAGACGUGUGUGAAUUACGCUCAAGCCAGAGAAGGAACCAAACCUACAAUCUCCUGAGUGGCAGUCAAACACAUUAUCCAUUGUGGUUGUGGUGAUAAUAUGGCCAGGUAGCAUUCACAAGACGAACAGCCAGUGAAAGAUAAUCGCCAUCACUGCUUCAAUUCAACUGUCCCCAUUUCGCGAAGCAGGGAAUUUCACAGGUAAAGGAAACACAUUUUCCCUGAGGAGGCUGCUUCCGUGUCGCCUCUUUUGUAUCAUUUUAUUCACAGUCACACUGCUAUUCUAUGACCAACUCCAAGUGAAGUGCGCACUCAUGAUUUGUGUUAUGGUGCCUUUGAGUCAAGGCCCUGAAAAAACACAACAAAAUCAGCAAGAAGCUCCUGGCCAUUUCUAGCCUGGCUCUGGAAUUAGACGAGUUGAACCAUAUCUUUAUGAGUGCCGUCUCUUUACUGCAGCCUCAGAACAGGCACGUAUUAGCAUGAGCCUGUUCUCUAUCUUCCUGCAGUACAUCUGCUGAUCACCUUCAGGUUAUCACAGCUCGACUUUCUCCACAUCGAAACUCGAAUGACAUUAUGAAAUGUUUCGAAGUUUAGAGAGAGAAGCAUUUCAGGUGAAAGUAGUUCUGAUGUGAAGAAAUGACACAAGGAUGUGUGCAAAUCAGGUCACAAGGGUUACUCUCAGCAACACUAGUGUUCUAGCGGUUAGGAUUCAGGACUUGCAUCAACCAGGCUGGGACACAAUUCCCAGUCAGGAAAUGAAGAUUUAUUUCUCUGCUUGUGGACUACCUGGAUUAAAAUGGAUUCUUGAUUACAAAGUAGGGUCUAGGCCUGAAACAUCAGCUUUCUGAUGCUGCUUGGCCUGCUGUGUUCGUCCAGUUCUACACCUUGU